CCGCGUAAGUGCCUCCCCUGGGGCUGCAUUCUAAUAAGCUAGUCCCAAAUACUUCGUGGAAUACAUCUUGAUGUAUUGAAUCGCAAUGCAAAAACAAGCUACUUCUUCGCAUUGCGCGUCAUGCGAGAGCAUUCAAACAGGACUCAGUGUACUGCUUUUUCUGUUGCAUUGGUAAUAACAGCAGCAUUGACUGAAGACAGCAGGAGAGCAGGACAACGCGUGAAUCUCUGAGCGCAGCGCCAGCGGAGGAAUAUCCCAGCUUUUAUUUACUCUGAGGCUUGUUGUUCAUUUUUAUGCUUUAUGGUGAACUUGUACAGUACAGUCACGUGUGAAGAUUUCGGGAAGCUGAAAGUAAGACUUCUUCUCACCUGGUGACUCCUAUUUCCAAAGAGGAAAUAAACCCGCGUAUUCGAUCCUCGACACCUCUGGACUUCCUCCACUCCUGAGACGGACAACAAACACAGUUUCCCCCCUCAGGGAUGAAAUAUGCCCAGGCUGUGUCCGUAGACCAAGUCAGAACUUGUACUCUCUGAAGUCAAAACUGGUGAGUGAGACUGUACAGCCAUAUUGCUUACUGUACUGUUGUCUGCAUGCCUGUUGUUAUGUGUUGGCUGUCAUGCUUGUGUGGUUCAUCAGUCACUGCCUUUCCGGGAACCUUCAGGUUAAAACAGAUAUUUGUGCUUGUAAAAAACAAAACUAAGCAGUACCACACAGUUCGGAAGAAUCUUAGCUACGACAAAGGAGACAAUUCAAGAUUACCAGCUGAAUUAAAUUAUAAUGCAAUAAUGCCGGUAAAAAGCAGGUUAAAAAGUGAACACACGAAAGGCAGGUUUGUGUGACAGUUUUCAAAUCAAAAACGCCGGUCGAGGCAUUAGCUCAGAACGAGUCUAAACAAGUCUAAAUGGCUGUUCAACCUCCUCCCAAACACUUCUUCGGUCAUUAGUUAGCGUUAUCCUUUUCCGUCUCCAAUUACGUUUAUCCAUGGUGAGACAUAUCCAGCCCUUCACUACAGAUGUUUGGCGUCUGACAAUGUGUGUCAGAUGCCUCCUGAGUCUAUGACCGUGUGCUGUGGAGCCACAUUAGCAAGGAUUGACUCAUAAUCAUCUUCACCUGCUGGCCUUGGAUUCUUUAGGCUUGUUCCGUCGUGGCUUGGUGACAAACUGCUGCUGUUUCCUCAAGCACUAUGAAUCUGCUAGUUUAUCCUUUGGUGGAAUGGGAAUAUAUUUAGUGAAAAUAAAAAUUUUAAAAUGUACUUCAAUACUGGUUGGUUGAGAGGCAGAGGUUGAACAUUUUGUUUCAGUCUUUUGCAUUUAAUUGUUGUUCUUCACCUUAACUAUUUGUCUCCUUUGUGCCACCUAAAAUUAGUUAUAAUUCAGAAGUUUGUUUUGGUCUAUUUUCCCAAGGUUGUUUCCUAGAAUCCAGGCCAUGAGUUUAUUUGGAUAAUCUGACCCAGUCUCAGCAUGAACAUCUAUUUUACUCAAUAUUCCACUGCUGAGUUUUGGCUUUGAGGUCCAGAUAUAAUUCAAGUGCAUGAGGCUGGAGCCGGACGGCUGGUUUGGGUGGCUCAGCUGUGGGGCCUGGCUCCGUUUCCCUGGAGCCACAUCUUCACAGGGCUGAGCAGAGCUGAGAAUCCCUUUCCCCACCUAAAAGAGAUUUGAAUAUUAGUUUUAAAUUUGUUGAGUAUCCCGUUAAAUCUUUAAAGAUGAACUCUCAAAGCAUAUCUGCUCUCCAACAGAAGGCAGUCUAAUCAUUGCAAAAAAAAAAAAGUAUAAUUGCCCUAACUCCAAGGGCCUCAAAUGUACACAUGUAUAAAAGUCUACAGCAAUUAAGCAUAUCUUUGGCUAGUUUAAAGUGGAGCUUCCCUGGACUGAUGGCUUUUGCUCACAUUUCCAAUCCAAAAUUGAUUUCUUGUUAUAGAUCAGAGCUCUCAGUCAUUUCAUUUUCAACACUCAAACGGGUUUUUCUGAGCUGGCUAACUCUUCUCCCAGGAGUGGGCGAGUAGGGGGAACCUCCACGGGUCUUUACCCAGGACACCCUCACCAGCGGAGGGGGAGGACGGGAAUCAAAGGGCCUCUGACUGCUCCCCAUUGGCCUGCUCCAUUGUGUAACCGAUCUGGGAUUGUAGGGGAAAGUGGACAGAGGGAUGGAGAUCAGCCAGAGCCCAUACAUUUUUCUAAUCUUUAUCCACCAUUAACCCUAGCGCCCCUGUGUGUGACUGGGAUCAGGGCAAUGGUCAAUCCCCUAUUCUCCACCACCCAGAAUAUUUUAAAUUUAAGCCCCUCUCUUAACAAAAAAAAAGUCCUUCUCAUCAAAGGUUCACUUUCUUACUCACUCGGUCCCAAGGAUCUGCCUUUGCUCGCCCUCCUCCCCUCGCUCCCCCUCUUUAUGGUCCGCUGUUUUGUCUUCCCACUUGGAAAGUUGGAAGUUCUGGAACUUUCCCAAGUUUCCAUAUUUCAGUUUAAUGAGGUUUGGUUUGGGGUCUCAUACUGUCGUGCUGUGAGCAAAUUGGAGCAAGAGUGGAAGGACCUAGUUCCUCUCUUCACUGAUCUCUGGGCGGAUUAGGAGCUGGGUUCGCGUUUAAAUAGAUUCUGGAAAUGUACUUACUUCCACAGAGAGAAUAUAAUUCGCACCUGAUACAUAUAUUCCCAACCUUGAGCUUGUCCUUCACACAGGCAAACACGCCAUGUGUAACCUAUCCCCGCUCAGUCACAGAAGUCUAACAGCUCUGAGAUGUUUUAAUACCUCAAACUUUAACUGGAUUCAAUCCAGACCCUUUCUGGGAGCUUAUAGUUUUUCUUUUUUUACAUCUACAUUAUUUUCUUUCCAGAUUCACUUUGUUUAUAGAAGUAGCCAUAGUGGUCUUCUGAGACCCUGCUUUGUAUAAAGGAAUAAUGAAGCGACAGGAAAAACGAGAAGGUAAGGUAGAAAGAAGAUCUGAGUGUUUGUCUGGACUGGACAGUUGCUAUGAGAGAACUGUCACAAUGGGAGGCAUGGUCAAGCCAACCCAAAGCUUCCAUCAGUCGUGAUGGGGAAGGCUCAAUGAGCUUAUUGAUCCAGAAAGCUAGCUAUGCUAAUCAACAGUAUGAAUGGACACGCUCUGCAGAACGGACACCACCCCCCCUUCUACAUGUCAGUCAGGCACUCAGUUAGUGGUAAUCUCUCUGAGAGUCUGAAAAUACCACACCAUCAUACUGUUUGUUAGCUACGGAAAGUGGAUGGGUGGCAGCCUGUAGUUUGUCUUUUAAUCAGAACACAUUACAGUAAUCUACUGCUUGCAAGGAUCACAAGCUAGCCACAAACAGCGCUCAGUGCCAUGUAAUUUUGUGACGUGAUUUUGAACACAGGCAGCAACAGACAAGGAGCAGGCAAGGGCUUGUGGUUUUAAUAUCUGCAGCCCUCGGGCAAAGCAUCUACUCAUUAGACACACAUUGGCCUCGACUCCUAACUGCUCGUGACAUGACUGAUUGCAAAUAGUUUACGCACAAUCUUUUUAAAUUUUCAUAAAAGGGUGGAUCUAGAGUUUCACGUGUUAUUCUUUCCCUCCGAGUUAAUUGGAGAAAUCUUGGGUGCGGAAGCAGGCCACUGGCACGGUUCCAAGUGCCUGAGAUUAUUGUGAAAGAGAACCCUUCUGAAGGCACGACAUCAGAGAUGCCUGACAUGGGUUUGAACUCGUUGUUUCAGGUGGGGAGAGUUAUGAGUCGCUUCAGUUGCAGGUGAUCGUGUCCAAUGAAUUGGUCUCACAGAGUAGUAACACGUUCUUUUGGAAAGUUGAAAAAUGUUGAUCGUCUCCGCGGUUUGAACUUGUGUGUGGCUGCAUCUCCACGGUGAUACACAGGUUUUGGAAAGUGCACACAAAGUCAGUUCCGCCUGUUUAUUUAACGAACCAAAAAUGUAUAACAAGACGAGCAUGAACGAAGAUUAGGAUUGUGGAGUGCGAUGUAUUUAUCAUGACGAUAAAGUAGCAAUAGUGUAGGAAACUGUGUGCUUUCCCUGCCUGAUUCUACAGUUGUCAAACAAUGUGAAUUUUCUCUGCUCUUUGGAUGAACUGUGUCUGACGUGUGUUGUGUGUCGGUGUUUGUCAUUGAGUGUGUGCGUAUUUGAGUGUGUGGUGGUGUGUUAAAGUUGGAUUUGCAAGUGAACACAUUGUGUGAAUGAUGUCAUGGAAUACAUUCGUCAUUAGCAGUUAUUGGUUUCUUAGAAACAUUGAUUUUUAUUUUAAGCUUUUGAAGCAAUAGAGUAGCUGGGAUUUUAGCCUCCUGUGGAGUUGUAAGUCUCUAAGAUUAUUAGAAUAAUUGGCAACAAAGAAGGUUCAUAUAAAUGUAAAUUAGAUUAAAUUAGUUCAGUUCCCCAUUUUGUAUAUUAUGAGAACUUUUUUUCACACUAAUCCAAAUAGAGCAAUUAUAUACGAACACUCCACUGCAUCCUCACAUCUUUAAUUUGGAUGUCAUACGUCAACAAUCCAAAGGGUAACACAUUGAAAUAGUUUAUAGGAUAUUAAGACGUUGAUAAAUCAUGUUAUCACCAUGCCACUGUGUCUUGGCCCUGACAUUUUUCAGAUUCCACCUUGAGAUAAUACUUUCACCCAAGCUCUUCUCCUUUCCCCACAAGUGAAAGCUUCAAAUCAGACCCAGUCACAGCCACUGAAAAACCUUUUACUACGCAGGCAACAAGCCAAGUCCUUUGUUCAUUAUGCUCAUUUGAUCGUGGCUUGAAAAGGAAUACACAGAGGGGAAAUACUACAAGAGUUUGGAAUUUGACUUCCAGACCACAAACCACAAGCCUAGACAGUGACAAGAGCUACCUAGUUUGACGGAAAUAGUCCGAGAGCAUCCAACACACGUAAACUCUCUCUCACACACACCCACACACACACACACACUCACACACGAUCACUCACACACUCACACACAUCCACACACACAAACACAAGUGUAACAUACUCGAUUUGGGUCAGAGGGCUGACAGACAGUGGAAUGUGGAUGUGUGUAUGUUGACAAACUCCACUGCCCACUGAAUGGGGUUUCUGAUUACACCUCAUCAUGCGUGCUGCGGUGCUCUCCAUCCCCCCC
Hypomesus transpacificus is the source of this 5069-nucleotide long non-coding RNA. RefSeq lists it as uncharacterized. The transcript has 3 exons. The record is from RefSeq and is a predicted model, not a curated record. Lineage: Eukaryota; Metazoa; Chordata; Actinopteri; Osmeriformes; Osmeridae.